GGUGGUGUAGUCUGAGCAUUGGACUACGAAUCUGAAGGUCAGGGUUCGAUUCCCUGCUCCACCA
Non-coding RNA from Phrynosoma platyrhinos (Desert horned lizard), 64 nucleotides. NCBI's taxonomy places the organism in Eukaryota, Metazoa, Chordata, Lepidosauria, Squamata, Phrynosomatidae. The record is from the annotation of a GenBank genome assembly.